This 486-nucleotide ribosomal RNA is filed under the name uncultured Planctomyces sp. RNAcentral's name for it is "bacterial SSU rRNA". It matches the Rfam family "Bacterial small subunit ribosomal RNA", at positions 29 to 505 of the family's 1533-position model. Lineage: Bacteria; Pseudomonadati; Planctomycetota; Planctomycetia; Planctomycetales; Planctomycetaceae. The record is from RNAcentral.
AAUGAACGUUGGCGGCGUGGAUUAGGCAUGCAAGUCGAGCGAGAAGUUGUGAUCUGAUCCUUCGGGUGAAGUGAUCAAUGGACAGCGGCGAACGGCGUAGUAAUGGAUAGGUUACGUGCCCUCAGGACGGGAAUAGCCACGGGAAACUGUGGGUAAUGCCCGAUAAUGUCUCAGGACCAAAUGGUGUGAUUCCGCCUGAGGAGCGGCUUAUUCGGUAUUAACUUGUUGGUGGGGUAACGGCCUACCAAGGUUUUGAUGCUUAGGGGGUGUGAGAGCAUGGCCCCCACGACCGGGACUGAGACACUGCCCGGACAUCUACGGAUGGCUGCAGUCGAGAAUCUUCCGCAAUGGACGCAAGUCCGACGGAGCGACGCCGCGUGUAGGACGAAGGCCCUUGGGUUGUAAACUACUGUCAGAGGGGAUGAAAUGGUUGGAGGCUAUCCUCCUUCCUUGACAGAGCCUCAGAGGAAGCACGGGCUAAGUACG